UGGGGGAUAUUGCACAAUGGGGGAAACCCUGAUGCAGCGACGCCGCGUGAGCGAUGAAGUAUUUCGGUAUGUAAAGCUCUAUCAGCAGGGAAGAAAAUGACGGUACCUGACUAAGAAGCCCCGGCUAACUACGUGCCAGCAGCCGCGGUAAUACGUAGGGGGCAAGCGUUGUCCGGAUUUACUGGGUGUAAAGGGAGCGUAGACGGCGGUGCAAGCCAGAUGUGAAAGCCCGGGGCUCAACCCCGGGACUGCAUUUGGAACUGUGCUGCUAGAGUGCCGGAGAGGCAGGCGGAAUUCCUAGUGUAGCGGUGAAAUGCGUAGAUAUUAGGAGGAACACCAGUGGCGAAGGCGGCCUGCUGGACGAUGACUGACGUUGAGGCUCGAAAGCGUGGGGAGCAAACAGG
Molecule: ribosomal RNA, 404 nt
Filed under: uncultured bacterium
Lineage: Bacteria
Description: bacterial SSU rRNA
Rfam family: Bacterial small subunit ribosomal RNA
Source: RNAcentral